CAAUAGCGUAUAUUAAAGUUGUUGCAGUUAAAAAGCUCGUAGUUGGAUUUCUGAUCGAGACAUCAGGUCGGGUCCGAGAGGAUCAUGUACUUUGAUUUUGUUUUGAACAUCCUUGGGGAGAGCAUUUCUGGCAUUCAGUUGUCGGGAUUGGGAUCCUCAUCGUUUACUGUGAAAAAAUUAGAGUGUUCAAAGCAGGCCUCGGCCUCUGAAUACAUUAGCAUGGAAUAAUAAGAUAGGACUUUGGUGGUCUAUUUUGUUGGUUUGCACGCCAAAGUAAUGAUUAAUAGGGAUAGUUGGGGGUAUUCGUAUUCAAUUGUCAGAGGUGAAAUUCUUGGAUUUAUGGAAGACGAACUACUGCGAAAGCAUUUACCAAGGAUGUUUUCAUUAA
This 388-nucleotide ribosomal RNA is filed under the name uncultured eukaryote. RNAcentral's name for it is "partial 18S ribosomal RNA". It matches the Rfam family "Eukaryotic small subunit ribosomal RNA", at positions 592 to 976 of the family's 1831-position model. The record is from RNAcentral.